UGCCAGCAGCCGCGGUAAUACGGAGGGUGCAACCGUUAAUCGGAAUUACUGGGCGUAAAGCGCGCGUAGGCGGUUUGUUAAGUUGGCUGUGAAAGCCCCGGGCUUAACCUGGGAGGGUCAGUCAAAACUAGCAAACUAGAGUACAGUAGAGGAGUGUGGAAUUUCCGGUGUAGCGGUGAAAUGCGUAGAGAUCGGAAGGAACACCAGUGGCGAAGGCGGCACUCUGGACUGAUACAGACGCUGAGGUGCGAAAGCGUGGGGAGCAAACAGGAUUAGAUA
Molecule: ribosomal RNA, 279 nt
Filed under: uncultured bacterium
Lineage: Bacteria
Description: partial 16S ribosomal RNA
Rfam family: Bacterial small subunit ribosomal RNA
Source: RNAcentral